UUCGUCUCCUUCUUUCUCUUUCGAUCUCAUCUCCUUCUUUCUCCUGUUCUUCUCCUUCGUUCUCAUCUCCUUCUCUCUCUUUUUCUCUUUUGUUCUUCCCCGAUUCUCGUCCAAUUAAUUGAAUACCACCUUCGAUCUCAUCCCCUUCUUGUUCGAUCUACAUCAACAUCAACAGCAAUUUCUGGGUAUUUUUCGAGGUGAUUUCUGGGUUGUUUUAUUUUUAAAUUGCUUUCGAUCUCAUCUCCUAUUAAAGAUGAUGAAGAUUUUGAAGUUUGGAGACUACUUUGAGAAAUUAUUCAUGCUUGACCUCUAGAGACAUUAUUCAUGCUUGACCUCUAGAGACAGCAUCAUGGUGGCAUAUAACAACAAGAAGUAUUACAUUAACAUUACUGAAACAAAGCCCUCUCAUGCAAUCAGUAUAAUCGAGACAGACUGUGAGGUGGACUUUGCCCCUCCUCUUAAUUAUAAAGAGCCUGAAAGACCUGCAAUAUCUGCUCCUGGCAAGGCACAUCUCAAGGUGGCUGUCGGAAGAUGUUAUCUAUACGCAAGGCUGCUGCUGCCUCGCCAAGGCUCGCUGCUACAGUUGCUGCCUCGCCAGGUUUUACAUUGGUGAUUUGGUGUGACUUGUAAUUAACAGUGACUUGUAUUUUAUUUUUUUUGGGACCAAAAUUGUAAUAUUACAACCUUUUUUUA
Chenopodium quinoa (quinoa) is the source of this 693-nucleotide long non-coding RNA. RefSeq lists it as uncharacterized. The record is from RefSeq and is a predicted model, not a curated record. The transcript is spliced from 4 exons. NCBI's taxonomy places the organism in Eukaryota, Viridiplantae, Streptophyta, Magnoliopsida, Caryophyllales, Amaranthaceae.